AUAUAUAUAUAUACACACUCAUGCAUAUAUAUAUAUAUAUAUAUAUAUGUGUGUGUGUGUGUGUUUAUAUAUAU
Molecule: non-coding RNA, 74 nt
Organism: Podarcis lilfordi (Lilford's wall lizard)
Lineage: Eukaryota; Metazoa; Chordata; Lepidosauria; Squamata; Lacertidae
Source: the annotation of a GenBank genome assembly